This 869-nucleotide ribosomal RNA is filed under the name Akanthomyces sp. RNAcentral describes it as "partial large subunit ribosomal RNA". It matches the Rfam family "Eukaryotic large subunit ribosomal RNA", at positions 57 to 958 of the family's 3401-position model. Lineage: Eukaryota; Fungi; Ascomycota; Sordariomycetes; Hypocreales; Cordycipitaceae. The record is from RNAcentral.
AAAAGAAACCAACAGGGAUUGCCCCAGUAACGGCGAGUGAAGCGGCAACAGCUCAAAUUUGAAAUCUGGCCCCCGGGUCCGAGUUGUAAUUUGUAGAGGAUGCUUUUGGCGAGGUGCCUUCCGAGUUCCCUGGAACGGGACGCCAUAGAGGGUGAGAGCCCCGUCUGGUCGGACACCGAGCCUCUGUAAAGCUCCUUCGACGAGUCGAGUAGUUUGGGAAUGCUGCUCAAAAUGGGAGGUAUAUGUCUUCUAAAGCUAAAUAUUGGCCAGAGACCGAUAGCGCACAAGUAGAGUGAUCGAAAGAUGAAAAGCACUUUGAAAAGAGGGUUAAAAAGUACGUGAAAUUGUUGAAAGGGAAGCGCCUAUGACCAGACUUGGGCCCGGUGAAUCAUCCAGCGUUCUCGCUGGUGCACUUUGCCGGGCACAGGCCAGCAUCAGUUUGGCGCGGGGGAUAAAGGCUUUGGGAAUGUGGCUCCCCCGGGAGUGUUAUAGCCCAUUGCGCAAUACCCUGCGCCGGACUGAGGUACGCGCAUUGCAAGGAUGCUGGCGUAAUGGUCAUCAGCGACCCGUCUUGAAACACGGACCAAGGAGUCGUCUUCGUAUGCGAGUGUUCGGGUGUCAAACCCCUACGCGUAAUGAAAGUGAACGCAGGUGAGAGCUUCGGCGCAUCAUCGACCGAUCCUGAUGUUCUCGGAUGGAUUUGAGUAAGAGCAUACGGGGCCGGACCCGAAAGAAGGUGAACUAUGCCUGUAUAGGGUGAAGCCAGAGGAAACUCUGGUGGAGGCUCGCAGCGGUUCUGACGUGCGAAUCGAUCGUCAAAUAUGGGCAUGGGGGCGAAAGACUAAUCGAACCUUCUAGUAGCUGGUUCG